This 460-nucleotide ribosomal RNA is filed under the name uncultured bacterium. Its description in RNAcentral is "partial 16S ribosomal RNA". It matches the Rfam family "Bacterial small subunit ribosomal RNA", at positions 338 to 795 of the family's 1533-position model. The record is from RNAcentral.
CCUACGGGAGGCAGCAGUGAGGAAUAUUGGUCAAUGGGCGCGAGCCUGAACCAGCCAAGUAGCGUGAAGGAUGACUGCCCUACGGGGUGUAAACUUCUUUUAUAAAGGAAUAAACUGCCGCACGUGUGCCUUUUUGUAUGUACCUUAUGAAUAAGGCUCGGCGAACUCCGUUCCAGCAGCCCCGGUAAUAAGGUGGGGCCAAGCUUUAUCCGGUUUUAUUGGGUUUAAAGGGAGCGUAGAUGGGUGGUUAAGUCCGUUGUGAAAGUUUGCGGCCCAACCGUAAAAUUGCAAUUGAUACUGGCAGCCUUGAGUACAGUUGAGGUAGGCGGAAUGCGUGGUGUAGCGGUGAAAUGCAUAGAUAUCACGCAGAACUCCGAUUGCGAAGGCAGCCCACUAAACUGCGACUGACAUUGAUGCACGAAAGUGUGGGUAUCAAACAGGAUUAGAUACCCCUGUAGUC